UAAGGAAUAUUGGGCAAUGGACGGAAGUCUGACCCAGCCAUGCCGCGUGGAGGAUGAAGGUCCUCUGGAUUGUAAACUUCUUUUCUCGAUAAAGAAAACAUUUGUUUCUACAAAUUUUGACGGUAAUUGAGGAAUAAGCACCGGCUAACUCCGUGCCAGCAGCCGCGGUAAUACGGAGGGUGCAAGCGUUAUCCGGAUUCACUGGGUUUAAAGGGAGCGUAGGUGGGUUGGUAAGUCAGUGGUGAAAUACCCGAGCUUAACUCGGGAACUGCCAUUGAUACUGCUGAUCUUGAAUAUCGUAGAGGUAAGCGGAAUAUGUCAUGUAGCGGUGAAAUGCUUAGAUAUGACAUAGAACACCAAUUGCGAAGGCAGCUUGCUAUGCGAAUAUUGACACUAAUGC
Molecule: ribosomal RNA, 400 nt
Filed under: uncultured bacterium
Lineage: Bacteria
Description: bacterial SSU rRNA
Rfam family: Bacterial small subunit ribosomal RNA
Source: RNAcentral